GUAGGUAAAUAUUAUAUUUGCUGACAAUAUAUUUUGCAUAGGUAAUCAUCAUUAUUUUCAACGCAAAAUUUGUGUCGGUAAUAGUUGCAAAUAUAAAAUCCGACGAACCUAUUUUCCUCCGUACAUUUUCAUCUCCCGCCCCCACCCUCCUAUUUCCCCCAAACUGGUUCUCUGUCAGACCUACUCCUACACCCCCAUUUCCCUCUCUCCCUCCCUCUCCC
This 221-nucleotide long non-coding RNA is filed under the name Elaeis guineensis (African oil palm). RNAcentral's name for it is "long non-coding RNA (EGUI_LNC006063)". The record is from RNAcentral. Lineage: Eukaryota; Viridiplantae; Streptophyta; Magnoliopsida; Arecales; Arecaceae.